This 494-nucleotide long non-coding RNA is filed under the name Sparus aurata (gilthead seabream). RNAcentral describes it as "lncRNA (ENSSAUG00010010344.1)". Lineage: Eukaryota; Metazoa; Chordata; Actinopteri; Spariformes; Sparidae. The record is from RNAcentral.
ACUCAUUCCUGCUCUGACUUACCAGAGAUACAGACCUCUGUCAGCCAUACAACACCAGUUACAUUGUUUUCACAGUGUGCUAGGCGUGAAGAAGUCUGUAACACAGCCCGUAACCUCAAACACAGUCAGGAAUCGGGGGAGAGUGGAUUCAUCGGGGGAGGACCGUGCACCUCCUGUGUCUUUCGGGGCGCAGGCUCAGUUCCCCAAUCCUAACCCUUCCGCGGAUAAGGCCGGUCAGCAUACACUUUGACUGUGAAAGAUGUCUCAGGAAAACAGGAAGUCCCACCAUGAGCAUAUGCUGGAGAAGGGACGGUAUUGGAUGCAGGCAGCCUGCCAAAGGCUCGAGCAGGAGAGCAGAUGUCCUUUGACCACAUGGCGUUUUUCCAGUAUGUGCUGAUGGACACCCUCAUGAAGUCGCACGGCAUCGCUAAGAAGACGGUGCUGGAAUUUAAACUCACUGACUGGACUGACAGGGAGGUGACCGCUGGUGUCGG